GACGAACGCUGGCGGCGUGCCUAAUACAUGCAAGUAGAACGCUGAAGGAGGAGCUUGCUUCUCUGGAUGAGUUGCGAACGGGUGAGUAACGCGUAGGUAACCUGCCUGGUAGCGGGGGAUAACUAUUGGAAACGAUAGCUAAUACCGCACAAUAUUGACUAUUGCAUGAUAGUCAGUUGAAAGGUGCAACUGCACCACUACCAGAUGGACCUGCGUUGUAUUAGCUAGUUGGUGGGGUAACGGCUCACCAAGGCGACGAUACAUAGCCGACCUGAGAGGGGGAUCGGCCAAACUGGGACUGAGACACGGCCCAAACUCCUACGGGAGGCAGCAGGAGGGAAUCUUCGGCAAUGGACGGAAGUCUGACCGAGCAACGCCGCGUGAGUGAAGAAGGUUUUCGGAUCGUAAAGCUCUGUUGUAAGAGAAGAACGAGUGUGAGAGUGGAAAGCUCACACUGUGACGGUAUCUUACCAGAAAGGGACGGCUAACUACGUG
This 495-nucleotide ribosomal RNA is filed under the name uncultured bacterium. Its description in RNAcentral is "partial 16S ribosomal RNA". It matches the Rfam family "Bacterial small subunit ribosomal RNA", at positions 28 to 507 of the family's 1533-position model. The record is from RNAcentral.